This 130-nucleotide small RNA is filed under the name Marmota monax (woodchuck). The record is from RNAcentral. Lineage: Eukaryota; Metazoa; Chordata; Mammalia; Rodentia; Sciuridae.
GCUGGGUACAGUGGUGCUUGCCUGUAAUCCCAGUGGUUUGGGAGGCUGAGGCAGGAGGAUCAAGAAUUCUAAGCCAGCCUCAGCAAAAGUGAGAUGCUAAGUUAAGUAACUCAGUAAGACCCUGUCUCUA